This 31-nucleotide small RNA is filed under the name Bombyx mori (domestic silkworm). RNAcentral describes it as "ovarian small RNA-23024". The record is from RNAcentral. Lineage: Eukaryota; Metazoa; Arthropoda; Insecta; Lepidoptera; Bombycidae.
UAGUCUAUGUCGAGUUCCUUGGGGACUCCAC